AUUGAGAUAACUGGGUAAAAUGGUGAUUUUAUUCCUAGUUUUCUGAGGAAUCUCCAUACUGCUUUCCAGAGUGGAUUCAUCAAUUUGCAGUCCCACCAGCAAU
This 103-nucleotide microRNA precursor is filed under the name Marmota monax (woodchuck). The record is from RNAcentral. Lineage: Eukaryota; Metazoa; Chordata; Mammalia; Rodentia; Sciuridae.